RNAcentral lists this ribosomal RNA (251 nucleotides) under uncultured Eubacteriales bacterium. RNAcentral's name for it is "uncultured Clostridiales bacterium partial 16S ribosomal RNA". It matches the Rfam family "Bacterial small subunit ribosomal RNA", at positions 83 to 334 of the family's 1533-position model. Lineage: Bacteria; Bacillati; Bacillota; Clostridia; Eubacteriales. The record is from RNAcentral.
UAAAGUGGAUUAGCGGCGGACGGGUGAGUAACACGUGAGUAACCUGCCUUAGACAUUGGGAUAGCCUCGGGAAACCGGGAUUAAUACCAAAUAAAAUCAUAAUGACACAUGUCAUAACGAUCAAAACUCCGGUGGUCUAAGAUGGACUCGCGUCCCAUUAGCUAGUUGGUAGAGUAAAAGCCUACCAAGGCGACGAUGGGUAGCCGGCUUGAGAGGGUGAACGGCCACAUUGGAACUGAGAAACGGUCCAA